GAAUUCUAAGCCCACAGUUAAGUGGUUUUUUAUGGAUUUCACUUAAAAAGUGAGAUAGGAUCAGAAGCCCAAAAGUUUUUUUAAAAGCAGAUUUUUUUUUUCCCUCACAUGCCCAUAGUCUUAAAAUUUUCAACUAACAGGGACGCUCUAGUGCAGAUCAAGUUCUAGAGUCAGCUUUCAUGACUUGUUAGUUUUAAAAGUGAAUACUAAUUAAUUUUGGAAAUUGGAAGCUUGUAAGCUGAGCAAACAAG
RNAcentral lists this unclassified non-coding RNA (251 nucleotides) under Hevea brasiliensis (rubber tree). The record is from RNAcentral. Lineage: Eukaryota; Viridiplantae; Streptophyta; Magnoliopsida; Malpighiales; Euphorbiaceae.